CUAUGUCUGGAUCAUCCCAUGGAAAUUUAACCCUUAGAAAGGAGAGGUGGAAUUUGCCAAAGCAAAUUACAAAUUACAAUUUACAUUUCCUCUUACUAAAAAUUAGAAGAAAUAGAUUUUCUCACUCCUAGUGGGUUGUAUAUUUAUUCCUCAUUCUUGUGUCCUCUACCAGAGGCCUGGGAGUCUGAGGAUUCUGUGGAGUAAUUUAGCUGUUCCUAGAACUGCAC
Non-coding RNA from Pelobates cultripes (western spadefoot toad), 227 nucleotides. The record is from the annotation of a GenBank genome assembly. Lineage: Eukaryota; Metazoa; Chordata; Amphibia; Anura; Pelobatidae.